RNAcentral lists this long non-coding RNA (1316 nucleotides) under Cyanistes caeruleus (blue tit). Its description in RNAcentral is "lncRNA (ENSCCEG00000012112.1)". The record is from RNAcentral. Lineage: Eukaryota; Metazoa; Chordata; Aves; Passeriformes; Paridae.
UUGGGCAGCUCUGCAGGCUGUGCUUCCCAUCCUACUGCAGAGCCUUGCACAGAGUGAGCUUGGCCUUGGCUCUAUACAGCGAUAAAACCAAACACCUUCUGAUUGUGGCUCUUUUCAAGUCUCCUGCUGUCAUAAGAUGACUUUUUUAACCCCGGUAGUUCUUUCAAUCAAACAUACAACACAGGUCUCUUUUAAAAGCUCCUGGACAGAUUCAGGACAUGCAGAUGUUGGGAUACAAGGACAGCAAUGCAGCAGCAAGGCAAGUUACAACAAGCACUCAGAGAUAAUGCCUGGUCUGGUGGACAUCUGCAGGUGAGUGAUCCAGGCUGCAGGCCUCUCCUGGAGUGGAGAAUAUGGUUUCUCAGUGUAGGGCCUGGGACAAGCUCCUAAUGCUGGGUUACACAACCUGGCAUCAGAAACACUCACUGCUCUUGCUUUCUAUGUGCUGGAAGGGCUAAAUCUAUCAAAGCUGCAGCUGGAAACAGCUUGGGAAAAUCCUGCAUCACAUUUGAAUGUCUGGGAUGAAAGGGUGCCAGCAUGCUUGCACAUCAUGCCAAGCUGAGCCAGCAGAGGCUCUCAAGUUUCUUCUGUCUUUGUACAAUUAAGGUCAUGCUCAGCAUUAAAGCACUGCUCAGAUCCCCAGACUUUGCAGCUGCACGGCCACACUGAAGAAGGUGCAGCUCCUUUGAACACCUCUAAGCCAGCUGUCAACUUAAGCCAUGCUUUUCAAGGGGCUGGGAACUGGCUGCAGGUCACUGCUGACUGAUCCCCUUGGUCUUCUGUGUCUCAGUGGUCCCUUUGCUGAGUGGAGUCAUGCCAGCAUUCUAGCCUAGCACAUGCAGUUAUUCCUCUCUUCUUGCCAUCAGCCAGCUCCCUACAGCAAAGCCUCCCAGUGAUGACAAGCAUCUUCCCCCAUCCUGCAGAAAGAGCGAGGGAGAAAGACAAUUAACAAAAUGAGAGACCUGCCAGAGUCUGGAAAAAGCACCCAUCUGGCAGGAUCUAGCAGCUCCACCCUCAGGGAAUCUGCAUUUCUGACAUUCAAUCUGCCUGCUUGAGGGAAUACCCUCCUAGAAUCAGCCACAAGCAGAGAGACUUGUGAGCCAGUUCUGUACAGCUUGGUCUAAGUAAGGGUCCUCCCAGCUCUAUCUCCAGCCAAACAAAAACAAAGGCUCUUUUCUUCUGAAAUAUACAGGAGGUCAUGAGCUAACCUGCAGCUGUAUUUUCAGCUCUGACACUGCUUUUCGGCUCUGCUGCUUGUGUUUGUGCUUGGCUGCUUCCUCCUUUCCAAAUUCAGAGGUGGGUUGCCUUUGUUUCCU